CUCCAGAGAGCAGCUCCCCUGUCCUUCCGCGCAAUGCUAUGUGGAGCGUUGCCAUGGUAACGUGCGGCUACGCUCCACACAGCAUCGCGCGGGAGGACAGGGGAGCUGCUUCCUGGAG
Non-coding RNA from Pelobates cultripes (western spadefoot toad), 118 nucleotides. The record is from the annotation of a GenBank genome assembly. NCBI's taxonomy places the organism in Eukaryota, Metazoa, Chordata, Amphibia, Anura, Pelobatidae.